CCUACGGGCGGCUGCAGUGGGGAAUAUUGCACAAUGGGCGCAAGCCUGAUGCAGCCAUGCCGCGUGUGUGAAGAAGGCCUUCGGGUUGUAAAGCACUUUCAGCGGGGAGGAAGGCGGUGAGGUUAAUAACCUCAUCGAUUGACGUUACCCGCAGAAGAAGCACCGGCUAACUCCGUGCACAGCAGCCGCGGUAAUACGGAGGGUGCAAGCGUUAAUCGGAAUUACUGGGCGUAAAGCGCACGCAGGCGGUCUGUCAAGUCGGAUGUGAAAUCCCCGGGCUCAACCUGGGAACUGCAUUCGAAACUGGCAGGCUAGAGUCUUGUAGAGGGGGGUAGAAGUCCAGGUGUAGCGGUGAAAUGCGUAGAGAUCUGGAGGAAUACCGGUGGCGAAGGCGGCCCCCUGGACAAAGGCUGACGCUCAGGUGCGAAAGCGUGGGGAGCAAACAGGAUUAGAUACCCUAGUAGUC
RNAcentral lists this ribosomal RNA (466 nucleotides) under uncultured Klebsiella sp. RNAcentral's name for it is "bacterial SSU rRNA". It matches the Rfam family "Bacterial small subunit ribosomal RNA", at positions 338 to 795 of the family's 1533-position model. Lineage: Bacteria; Pseudomonadati; Pseudomonadota; Gammaproteobacteria; Enterobacterales; Enterobacteriaceae. The record is from RNAcentral.